Molecule: ribosomal RNA, 496 nt
Filed under: uncultured bacterium
Lineage: Bacteria
Description: partial 16S ribosomal RNA
Rfam family: Bacterial small subunit ribosomal RNA
Source: RNAcentral
GAUGAACGCUGGCGGCGUGCCUAAUACAUGCAAGUCGAGCGAACGGACGAGAAGCUUGCUUCUCUGAUGUUAGCGGCGGACGGGUGAGUAACACGUGGAUAACCUACCUAUAAGACUGGGAUAACUUCGGGAAACCGGAGCUAAUACCGGAUGAUAUUUUGAACCGCAUGGUUCAAAAGUGAAAGACGGUCUUGCUGUCACUUAUAGAUGGAUCCGCGCUGCAUUAGCUAGUUGGUAAGGUAACGGCUUACCAAGGCAACGAUGCAUAGCCGACCUGAGAGGGUGAUCGGCCACACUGGAACUGAGACACGGUCCAGACUCCUACGGGAGGCAGCAGUAGGGAAUCUUCCGCAAUGGGCGAAAGCCUGACGGAGCAACGCCGCGUGAGUGAUGAAGGGCUUCGGAUCGUAAAACGCUGUUAUUAGGGAAGAACAUAUGUGUAAGUAACUGUGCACAUCUUGACGGUACCUAAUCAGAAAGCCACGGCUAACUACGU